CCCAGUUCGGAUUGUAGUCUGCAACCCGACUACACGAAGCUGGAAUCGCUAGUAAUCGCAGGUCAGCAUACUGCGGUGAAUACGUUCCCGGGUCUUGUACACACCGCCCGUCACACCAUGGGAGCCGGAAAUGCCCGAAGCCAGUGACCCAACCUUAGGGAGGGAGCUGUCGAAGGUGGAGCCGGUAACUGGGGUGAAGUCGUAACAAGGUAAC
This 214-nucleotide ribosomal RNA is filed under the name uncultured bacterium. Its description in RNAcentral is "partial 16S ribosomal RNA". It matches the Rfam family "Bacterial small subunit ribosomal RNA", at positions 1287 to 1500 of the family's 1533-position model. The record is from RNAcentral.